AUUGAACGCUGGCGGCAGGCUUAACACAUGCAAGUCGAACGAGUGGCGGACGGGUGAGUAAUGUCUGGGAAACUGCCCGAUGGAGGGGGCUAACUACUGGCAACGGUAGCUAAUACCGCAUACCAUCGGAUGUGCCCAGAUGGGAUUAGCUAUUAGGUGGGGUAAAGGCUCACCUAGGCGACGAUCCCUAGCUGGUCUGAGAGGAUGACCAGCCACACUGGAACAGAGACAGGGUCCAGACGCCGACGGGAGGAAGCAGUGGGGAAUAUUGCGAAAUGGGCGCAAACCUGAUGCAGGCAUGCCGCGUGUAUGAAGAAGGCCUUCGGGUUGUAAAGUACUUUCAGCGGGGAGGCGUUACCCGCAGAAGAAGCACCGGCAAACUCCGUGCCAGCAGCCGCGGUAAUAC
This 406-nucleotide ribosomal RNA is filed under the name uncultured bacterium. Its description in RNAcentral is "partial 16S ribosomal RNA". It matches the Rfam family "Bacterial small subunit ribosomal RNA", at positions 29 to 526 of the family's 1533-position model. The record is from RNAcentral.